RNAcentral lists this ribosomal RNA (238 nucleotides) under uncultured bacterium. RNAcentral's name for it is "partial 16S ribosomal RNA". It matches the Rfam family "Bacterial small subunit ribosomal RNA", at positions 120 to 354 of the family's 1533-position model. The record is from RNAcentral.
UGCAACCUGCCCGUUUCAGCCGGAUAACCCGGAGAAAUCCGGCCUAAUACCGCAUGUGGCCGAGGGGAGGCAUCUUCUUUCGGCCAAAGGAGGCGACUCCGGAGACGGAUGGGCAUGCGUGACAUUAGCUUGUUGGCGGGGUAACGGCCCACCAAGGCGACGAUGUCUAGGGGUUCUGAGAGGAAGGUCCCCCACACUGGUACUGAGACACGGACCAGACUCCUACGGGAGGCAGCAG